UGGGGAAUAUUGCACAAUGGGCGCAAGCCUGAUGCAGCGACGCCGCGUGAGGGAUGACGGCCUUCGGGUUGUAAACCUCUUUCAGCAGGGACGAAGCGCGAGUGACGGUACCUGCAGAAGAAGCACCAGCCAACUACGUGCCAGCAGCCGCGGUAAUACGUAGGGUGCGAGCGUUGUCCGGAAUUACUGGGCGUAAAGAGCUCGUAGGCGGUUUGUCGCGUCGUCUGUGAAAUUCUGCAGCUUAACUGCAGGCGUGCAGGCGAUACGGGCAGACUUGAGUACUACAGGGGAGACUGGAAUUCCUGGUGUAGCGGUGAAAUGCGCAGAUAUCAGGAGGAACACCGGUGGCGAAGGCGGGUCUCUGGGUAGUAACUGACGCUGAGGAGCGAAAGCGUGGGUAGCGAACAGGAUUAGAUACCCUGGUAGUCCACGCCGUAAACGGUGGGUACUAGGUGUGGGUUCCAUUUCACGGGAUCCGUGCCGUAGCUAACGCAUUAAGUACCCGCCUGGGGAGUACGGCCGCAAGGCUAAAACUCAAAUGAAUUGACGGGGUCAUGCUG
Molecule: ribosomal RNA, 560 nt
Filed under: uncultured bacterium
Lineage: Bacteria
Description: partial 16S ribosomal RNA
Rfam family: Bacterial small subunit ribosomal RNA
Source: RNAcentral